Molecule: transfer RNA, 71 nt
Organism: Loxodonta africana (African savanna elephant)
Lineage: Eukaryota; Metazoa; Chordata; Mammalia; Proboscidea; Elephantidae
Rfam family: tRNA
About the family: Transfer RNA (tRNA) molecules are approximately 80 nucleotides in length. Their secondary structure includes four short double-helical elements and three loops (D, anti-codon, and T loops). Further hydrogen bonds mediate the characteristic L-shaped molecular structure. tRNAs have two regions of fundamental functional importance: the anti-codon, which is responsible for specific mRNA codon recognition, and the 3' end, to which the tRNAs corresponding amino acid is attached (by aminoacyl-tRNA synthetases). tRNAs cope with the degeneracy of the genetic code in two manners: having more than one tRNA (with a specific anti-codon) for a particular amino acid; and 'wobble' base-pairing, i.e. permitting non-standard base-pairing at the 3rd anti-codon position.
Source: Rfam
GCAUUGUUGGUUCAGUGGUAGAAUUUUUGCUUUCUAUGCAGGAGACCUGGGUUCGAUUCCCAGCCAAUGUA